RNAcentral lists this ribosomal RNA (315 nucleotides) under uncultured eukaryote. Its description in RNAcentral is "partial 18S ribosomal RNA". It matches the Rfam family "Eukaryotic small subunit ribosomal RNA", at positions 1470 to 1796 of the family's 1831-position model. The record is from RNAcentral.
CCCUUAGAUGUUCUGGGCUGCACGCGCGCUACAAUGACGCACGCAACAGGUGCCUGCUCCGAGAGGACUGGGUAAUCAUUUGAGUGUGCGUCGUGAUGGGGAUAGAAUAUUGUAAUUAUUACUCUUCAACGAGGAAUUCCUAGUAAGCGCCAGUCAGCAGCUUGCGCUGAUUACGUCCCUGCCCUUUGUACACACCGCCCGUCGCUCCUACCGAUGGGUGAUCCGGUGAAUGAUUCGGACUUCAGCGGCUCCCCUGGGGUGCGCCGGAGAAAGUUUUGUGAACCUUAUCACUUGGAGGAAGGAGAAGUCGUAACA